AUGGGCAAGAUGACUAAGACUCCGUUCUUCGGAACAAUGGAGCGAGCAACAGAUUUGUUGGAAAUCAUACAUACUGAUGUAUGUGGUCCGAUGAAUAUUGAGGCUCGCGACAGGUAUCAUUAUUUUCUGAUCUUCACAGAUGAUUUGAGCAGAUAUGAGUAUAUCUACUUGAUGAAACAUAAGUCUAAAACAUUUGAAAAGUUCAAAGAAUUUCAGAGUGAAGUGAAAAAUCAUCGUAACAAGAAAAUAGAGUUUCUACGAUCUGAUCGUAGAGAAGAGUAUUUGAGUUACGAGUUUGGCCUUCAGUUAAAAACAAUGUGA
Molecule: ribosomal RNA, 321 nt
Filed under: Triticum aestivum (bread wheat)
Lineage: Eukaryota; Viridiplantae; Streptophyta; Magnoliopsida; Poales; Poaceae
Description: partial small subunit ribosomal RNA
Source: RNAcentral